RNAcentral lists this long non-coding RNA (250 nucleotides) under Ictidomys tridecemlineatus (thirteen-lined ground squirrel). Its description in RNAcentral is "lncRNA (ENSSTOG00000034424.1)". The record is from RNAcentral. Lineage: Eukaryota; Metazoa; Chordata; Mammalia; Rodentia; Sciuridae.
UCUGCACAGGAGCCCAUCCCUGGACUCCUAGCUCAGCCCACUCAGUGACCAGGACUGAACACAGCUGCUCACCAUGGAGAGUGUGCUCAGCUGGGUUUUCCUGGUGGCUGUUUUCAAAGGUGUCCAGUGUGAGGUGCAGCUGGUGGAGUCUGGGGGAGGCCUGGUGCAGCCUGGGGGUUCCCUGCGACUCUCCUGUGCUGCCUCUGGAUUCACCUUUAGUAGUUAUAAUAUGUACUGGGUCCGCCAGGCU